RNAcentral lists this ribosomal RNA (466 nucleotides) under uncultured bacterium. Its description in RNAcentral is "bacterial SSU rRNA". It matches the Rfam family "Bacterial small subunit ribosomal RNA", at positions 30 to 483 of the family's 1533-position model. The record is from RNAcentral.
AUUGAACGCUGGCGGCAGGCCUAACACAUGCAAGUCGAGCGGUAGCACAGAAGAGCUUGCUCUUCGGGUGACGAGCGGCGGACGGGUGAGUAAUGUCUGGGAAACUGCCUGAUGGAGGGGGAUAACUACUGGAAACGGUAGCUAAUACCGCAUAACGUCGCAAGACCAAAGUGGGGGACCUUCGGGCCUCAUGCCAUCAGAUGUGCCCAGAUGGGAUUAGCUAGUAGGUGAGGUAAUGGCUCACCUAGGCGACGAUCCCUAGCUGGUCUGAGAGGAUGACCAGCCACACUGGAACUGAGACACGGUCCAGACUCCUACGGGAGGCAGCAGUGGGGAAUAUUGCACAAUGGGCGCAAGCCUGAUGCAGCCAUGCCGCGUGUAUGAAGAAGGCCUUCGGGUUGUAAAGUACUUUCAGCGAGGAGGAAGGCAUUAAGGUUAAUAACCUUGGUGAUUGACGUUACUCGCA